This is a long non-coding RNA of Melitaea cinxia (Glanville fritillary), 93 nucleotides long. RefSeq lists it as uncharacterized. The record is from RefSeq and is a predicted model, not a curated record. The transcript has 3 exons. NCBI's taxonomy places the organism in Eukaryota, Metazoa, Arthropoda, Insecta, Lepidoptera, Nymphalidae.
AUAAAAUGUAUUAUAUUAUUGUUGGAGAAUGUAAUAGUAUUUUAACAAAACCAGAAUCUAUUUCGGCAAAGAAAUUGUAUAAAUUGGUCGAUG